AUACGGAGGGUGCAAGCGUUGUUCGGAAUUACUGGGCGUAAAGCGCGUGCAGGCGGUAAGGUAAGUCAGAUGUGAAAGCCCCGGGCUCAACCCGGGAAGUGCAUUUGAUACUGCCUUUCUUGAGUAUGGGAGAGGAGAGUGGAAUUCCCUGUGUAGAGGUGAAAGUCGUAGAUAUUGGGAGGAACACCCGUGGCGAAGGCGACUCGCUGGACCAAUACUGACGCUGAGACGCGAAAGCGUGGGGAGCGAACAGGAUUAGAAACCCCAGUAGUCC
Molecule: ribosomal RNA, 274 nt
Filed under: uncultured bacterium
Lineage: Bacteria
Description: partial 16S ribosomal RNA
Rfam family: Bacterial small subunit ribosomal RNA
Source: RNAcentral